Molecule: long non-coding RNA, 574 nt
Organism: Haliotis rubra (blacklip abalone)
Lineage: Eukaryota; Metazoa; Mollusca; Gastropoda; Lepetellida; Haliotidae
Exons: 2
Source: RefSeq, a predicted model, not a curated record
AUGUACUGGGGGUCUACAAGUUUGUACAUGUGAAAAUAUUUUUUAAAUUGCUGAGAAAUUAUUGGAAGAGGGAGGUGGGGAAUUGAUUUCGUACAUAAUAUGCAGGGGGUCACUUACUUUGUCCAUAAAUUUAAGGGGGGUGGGGUGGGGUGGGAUUCAUAUUGUACUUGCUUCUCCAUAAAACUCAUCAUCACCCCCACUAGCCAUAAAUUUUGAAUGGUCCCUAAGGUACCCUUAAAUUGGGUUGGGAAAUUGUCUUGCCAGCACGACAGCAUAAAUUUGGGACGUUAUCUGAUUGUUGAGAGUAUCAUUUGUUAUUACACAACUGUUGCAGGUGUGCGGACAUACAAAAGAGUAAAUGAAGAACACAUGAAGAUGGUCAGCAGCAUUCUCACCAGUAAGAAGCCAAAAACCUAGGAAGUACGAUGCAAAGCGGAACACAAAGCUUCAACUCCAGAAGAUUAUUCAAGUGACCCUGUGGAGAAUCGAAUAGGUGGAAGGAGGUCCCGCCGCUUCCAAUUAAUUAAUUGCAGUGUGCAGAUAUUGUAAAAAAUAAAUAAAAAUAUUUGCAUGG